This 81-nucleotide transfer RNA is filed under the name Allium trifurcatum. RNAcentral's name for it is "tRNA-Cys". The stretch from base 1 to 71 matches the Rfam family "tRNA". From Rfam's summary of the family: Transfer RNA (tRNA) molecules are approximately 80 nucleotides in length. Their secondary structure includes four short double-helical elements and three loops (D, anti-codon, and T loops). Lineage: Eukaryota; Viridiplantae; Streptophyta; Magnoliopsida; Asparagales; Amaryllidaceae. The record is from RNAcentral.
GGCGGCAUGGCCAAGUGGUAAGGCGGGGGACUGCAAAUCCUUUAUCCCCAGUUCAAAUCCGGGUGUCGCCUGAUCAAUCAA